GUGGCUGUAGCUCAGUCGGUAGAGUACAGGAUUGUGAUUCCUGUUGCCGCGGGUUCGAUCCCCGUCAGCCACC
Molecule: transfer RNA, 73 nt
Filed under: Seleniivibrio woodruffii
Lineage: Bacteria; Pseudomonadati; Deferribacterota; Deferribacteres; Deferribacterales; Geovibrionaceae
Rfam family: tRNA
About the family: Transfer RNA (tRNA) molecules are approximately 80 nucleotides in length. Their secondary structure includes four short double-helical elements and three loops (D, anti-codon, and T loops).
Source: Rfam by way of RNAcentral